RNAcentral lists this ribosomal RNA (429 nucleotides) under Bacteroidota bacterium. RNAcentral's name for it is "Bacteroidetes bacterium partial 16S ribosomal RNA". It matches the Rfam family "Bacterial small subunit ribosomal RNA", at positions 355 to 776 of the family's 1533-position model. Lineage: Bacteria; Pseudomonadati; Bacteroidota. The record is from RNAcentral.
UAGGGAAUCUUCGGCAAUGGGGGGAACCCUGACCGAGCAACGCCGCGUGAGUGAAGAAGGUUUUCGGAUCGUAAAGCUCUGUUGUUAAGGAAGAACGAGUGUGAGAAUGGAAAGUUCAUGCUGUGACGGUACUUAACCAGAAAGGGACGGCUAACUACGUGCCAGCAGCCGCGGUAAUACGUAGGUCCCGAGCGUUGUCCGGAUUUAUUGGGCGUAAAGCGAGCGCAGGCGGUUAGAAAAGUCUGAAGUGAAAGGCAGUGGCUCAACCAUUGUAGGCUUUUGCAACUGUUUAACUUGAGUGCAGAAGGGGCGAGUGGAAUUCCAUGUGUAGCGGUGAAAUGCGUAGAUAUAUGGAGGAACGCCAGUGGCGAAGGCGACUCUCUGGUCUGUAACUGACGCUGAGGCUCGAAAGCGUGGGUAGCAAACAGG